CUGCAACAGCUGUGCCGAAAAGAGGCCCGUUCAUCUUUUUCGGCUUGUCGCCUGGUCGUGUACUAAAGGAGCUGCUUAAGAAAGCAGCUGGUCGCGAGUGGCUCAAGCAGGAGAGAUGCGUCGUUGUCUGCAGGUCUUUUGGCGACAUGGAUACUUCCGACACGUGUUGAUAAAGUGAGAACUCGCUUCCUUGUAGUCGGCUCCUUAUAUGAGCGUCACGACGCAACACUAAAGAGCCAGGGAAGUCGAAUGCAAAGACACAUAUACAUGGCAGGUGCGUUAUUAGGACGAAGAGGGACACACAAGCCAGGUGGCACAAGAGCGGCGCAUCAUUUUCCACCUUACUCGCACAACUACAAGACCAACAAGAAGCUUGCUAGAAUACUUUCCACAAGCUCAGCCCUGGCCACCACAAGCACCUCGACCAGGAGAAAAGAGAUAGUGCCAUUUGGGUGUAACUAAUUUUG
Molecule: long non-coding RNA, 467 nt
Filed under: Dermacentor andersoni
Lineage: Eukaryota; Metazoa; Arthropoda; Arachnida; Ixodida; Ixodidae
Description: uncharacterized LOC126534102
Source: RNAcentral